UCUGUCAUGAGGUUUGAAGGCUUACUUUCCCCCAAUUUGUGUCUGCAGCGCUGGUACCGGCAUGGAAAACUUGCAAUUUUUCUGUGAGAAGUUUUAAUCUUAUAUUGAUUCCAGUAAGUCGACAGUCAAGUUAAAAAUUCACUAUGAAGAUUUGGUUCAUGAUGUAUUCGAAAUUGAUUCAGUUUGAAGCUUAAACAUGGCGGUUGAACGAGACUAAUAAAAGAACAGCAUGGACUGGAGAAUAACAUAGGUUUUGGAAAUCGACGCAUGCAGGUUAUGGAAAUCUGGAAAUCGACUGGAUCCUAUCACAACUCAUUGAACUGAUGUAGCUUCAUUGAACAGCCUGCUACUCUGGAAUUUGCGAGUUCGCUACGAGCUUAUGGAAGUUGUAUCUUGAUGACAGUCUUCACUAGAGUUUGAUGUAUCUUGAUGACAGUCUUCAAUGGCUAAUUGUGAUUAGUUUCUAAACAUUCAAUUUGUAUUUCAGACCCGUGGAAUACUAAAGUUGUUGCAUUCUUUCUAAAGUUGUGACAGU
Molecule: long non-coding RNA, 535 nt
Organism: Vicia villosa (hairy vetch)
Lineage: Eukaryota; Viridiplantae; Streptophyta; Magnoliopsida; Fabales; Fabaceae
Exons: 5
Source: RefSeq, a predicted model, not a curated record